UCCUUAGAAGCCCAGUGGUAGAGUGGUCGGUUGUUAACUGAUUGGUCGUAGGUUCAAAUCCUACUUGGGGAG
Non-coding RNA from Nicotiana sylvestris (wood tobacco), 72 nucleotides. NCBI's taxonomy places the organism in Eukaryota, Viridiplantae, Streptophyta, Magnoliopsida, Solanales, Solanaceae. The record is from Rfam.